UGCCAGCCGCCGCGGUAAUACGGAGGGUGCAAGCGUUAUCCGGAAUCACUGGGUUUAAAGGGUGCGUAGGCGGCGAAAUAAGUCAGAGGUGAAAGCCCGCGGCUCAACUGCGGAACUGCCUUUGAUACUGUUUAGCUUGAAUCAGGCUGAGGUUAGCGGAAUGUGACAUGUAGCGGUGAAACGCAUAGAUAUGUCAUAGAACACCAAUUGCGAAGGCAGCUAACUAGACCUGGAUUGACGCUGAGGCACGAAAGCGUGGGGAGCGAACAGGAUUAGAUA
Molecule: ribosomal RNA, 279 nt
Filed under: uncultured bacterium
Lineage: Bacteria
Description: partial 16S ribosomal RNA
Rfam family: Bacterial small subunit ribosomal RNA
Source: RNAcentral